Molecule: long non-coding RNA, 289 nt
Organism: Gasterosteus aculeatus aculeatus (three-spined stickleback)
Lineage: Eukaryota; Metazoa; Chordata; Actinopteri; Perciformes; Gasterosteidae
Source: Ensembl
AACACAUCAUUGCACUGUUGCCGUUUUUCAAUUUCUCAACCUUUUAAGGAGCUGAAUGAAUCCCGCCGCCGCGGCAGACAAAGAAGCGAAGCUGAAGACGAAUGAAGCUGCACACAGUGCCACUGUGUGCCCACCAUGACCAGACACCCCGCUUCCUCUCCUGCCGUGACCCGGAGACGGCAGUCGGGCCCAUCUGUGCCACGUUGUGCUGUUGUUCCAGCAGACGGCUUCCCCCGUGACAUCACCACAGCCAGACGGUGAUGCAGCCUGCGGUACGGGACACGCUGAC